Molecule: ribosomal RNA, 298 nt
Filed under: uncultured bacterium
Lineage: Bacteria
Description: partial 16S ribosomal RNA
Rfam family: Bacterial small subunit ribosomal RNA
Source: RNAcentral
UAUCCCUACGGGGCGCAGCAGUGGGGUUUUUUGGGUUUUGGGGGAACCCCUGACGCAGCAACGCCGCGUGCGGGAUGACGGCCUUCGGGUUGUAAACCGCUUUCAGUAGGGACGAAUUUUGACGGUACCUACAGAAGAAGCCCCGGCUAACUACGUGCCAGCAGCCGCGGUAAUACGUAGGGGGCGAGCGUUAUCCGGAUUCAUUGGGCGUAAAGCGCGCGUAGGCGGUCAUGUAAGCGGGACCUCUAAUCUUGGGGCUCAACCUCAAGCCGGGUUCCGAACUACAUGACUCGCGUGU